RNAcentral lists this transfer RNA (71 nucleotides) under Candidatus Aenigmatarchaeota archaeon. RNAcentral's name for it is "tRNA-Gly". It matches the Rfam family "tRNA". Rfam says of the family: Transfer RNA (tRNA) molecules are approximately 80 nucleotides in length. Their secondary structure includes four short double-helical elements and three loops (D, anti-codon, and T loops). The record is from RNAcentral. Lineage: Archaea; Nanobdellati; Candidatus Aenigmatarchaeota.
GCGCCGGUAGUCUAGAGGUAGGACACCGGCUUGCCAAGCCGGUAGCCCGGGUUCGAAUCCCGGCCGGCGCA